RNAcentral lists this transfer RNA (131 nucleotides) under archaeon. RNAcentral describes it as "tRNA-OTHER". It matches the Rfam family "tRNA". Rfam says of the family: Transfer RNA (tRNA) molecules are approximately 80 nucleotides in length. The record is from RNAcentral.
GGGCCGGUAGCUCAGUUUGGAUAGAGCAUCAAGAAACCAUUUGCUCUUUCAUUAGAGAAUGAUUUUGUGCUACUCUCCUAUUCCAAAAGGGAGCAAGGUGAGGGCCGAGGGUUCAAAUCCCUCCCGGCUCG